RNAcentral lists this ribosomal RNA (484 nucleotides) under uncultured bacterium. RNAcentral's name for it is "partial 16S ribosomal RNA". It matches the Rfam family "Bacterial small subunit ribosomal RNA", at positions 30 to 507 of the family's 1533-position model. The record is from RNAcentral.
AUUGAACGCUGGCGGCAGGCCUAACACAUGCAAGUCGAGCGGAUGAAGGGAGCUUGCUCCUGGAUUCAGCGGCGGACGGGUGAGUAAUGCCUAGGAAUCUGCCUGGUAGUGGGGGAUAACGUCCGGAAACGGGCGCUAAUACCGCAUACGUCCUGAGGGAGAAAGUGGGGGAUCUUCGGACCUCACGCUAUCAGAUGAGCCUAGGUCGGAUUAGCUAGUUGGUGGGGUAAAGGCCUACCAAGGCGACGAUCCGUAACUGGUCUGAGAGGAUGAUCAGUCAACAGGGAAACUGGGACAGGGUCCGAAUGCUAAGGGGAGGCGGAGGGGGGAAUAUUGGACAAUGGGCGAAAGCCUGAUCCAGCCAUGCCGCGUGUGUGAAGAAGGUCUUCGGAUUGUAAAGCACUUUAAGUUGGGAGGAAGGGCAGUAAGUUAAUACCUUGCUGUUUUGACGUUACCAACAGAAUAAGCACCGGCUAACUUCGUG